RNAcentral lists this ribosomal RNA (541 nucleotides) under uncultured bacterium. RNAcentral's name for it is "bacterial SSU rRNA". It matches the Rfam family "Bacterial small subunit ribosomal RNA", at positions 1 to 518 of the family's 1533-position model. The record is from RNAcentral.
CGUCGUCGACGUCGUCUAGAGAGGUUAGUUAGUAUACUGGCUCAGGACGAACGCUGGCGGCGUGCUUAACACAUGCAAGUCGAACGGGGAUAGCGUUGGAAGUCCUCGGGGUGGAAGAUGCUAUUCGAGUGGCGGACGGGUGAGUAACGCGUGAACAAUCUGUCCCAGACAGGGGGAUAACACUUGGAAACAGGUGCUAAUACCGCAUAAGACCACGGUGUCGCAUGGCACAGGGGUAAAAAGGAGCGAUCCGGUUUGGGGUGAGUUCGCGUCCGAUUAGCCAGUUGGCGGGGUAACGGCCCACCAAAGCGACGAUCGGUAGCCGAUCUGAGAGGAUGACCGGCCACAUUGGAACUGAGAGACGGUCCAAACUCCUACGGGAGGCAGCAGUGGGGAAUAUUGGGCAAUGGGCGAAAAAGCCUGACCCAGCAACGCCGCGUGAGUGAAGAAGGCCUUCGGGUUGUAAAGCUCUGUUAUAGGGGACGAAGGAAGUGACGGUACCCUAUAAGGAAGCCCCGGCUAACUACGUGCCAGCCGCCGC